AUUGAACGCUGGCGGCAUGCUUUACACAUGCAAGUCGAACGGCAGCGCGGGCUUCGGCCUGGCUGCGAGUGGCGAACGGGUGAGUAAUGCAUCGGAACGUGCCCAGUAGUGGGGGAUAGCCCGGCGAAAGCCGGAUUAAUACCGCAUACGACCUGAUGGUGAAAGCGGGGGACCGAAAGACCUCGCGCUAUUGGAGGGUCCGAUGUCGGAUUAGCUAGUUGGUGGGGUGAAGGCUUACCAAGGCGACGAUCCGUAGCUGGUCUGAGAGGACGACCAGCCACACUGGGACUGAGACACGGACCAGACUCCUACGGGAGGCAGAAGUGGGGAAUUUUGGACAAUGGGGGCAACCCUGAUCCAGCCAUGCCGCGUGCGGGAAGAAGGCCUUCGGGUUGUAAACCGCUUUUGUUCGGGAAGAAAUCCUAUGGGCUAAUACCCCGGGGGGAUGACGGUACCGGAAGAAUAAGCACCGGCUAACUACGUG
RNAcentral lists this ribosomal RNA (484 nucleotides) under uncultured bacterium. Its description in RNAcentral is "partial 16S ribosomal RNA". It matches the Rfam family "Bacterial small subunit ribosomal RNA", at positions 29 to 507 of the family's 1533-position model. The record is from RNAcentral.